UGUAGUUGGGGGAAGGCAGCGGGGGUAAUGCGGAGGGUGCAAGCGUUCAUAGGAAUUAAUGGGCGUAAAGCGUGCGCAGGCUGAUUAUUAAGUUGGAAUUGCAAUCCCUAGGCUCAACCUAGGAACUGCAGUUGAAACUAAGAAACUAGAGUAUCGUAGAGGGAGGUAGAAUUCCAGGUGGAGUGGUGAAAUGCGUAGAUAUCUGGAGGAAUACCAGUGGCGAAGGCGACCUCCUGGACGAAAACUGACGCUCAAGCACGAAAGCAUGGGGAGCAAACAGGAUUAGAUACCCCAGUAGUC
RNAcentral lists this ribosomal RNA (300 nucleotides) under uncultured archaeon. RNAcentral's name for it is "bacterial SSU rRNA". It matches the Rfam family "Bacterial small subunit ribosomal RNA", at positions 496 to 795 of the family's 1533-position model. The record is from RNAcentral.